GAAGGUGUAGCUCAGGGGUACAGCACGUGCGUAACAUGCAUGAGGUCCUGGGUUCAACCCUCGGUACCUCCA
RNAcentral lists this transfer RNA (72 nucleotides) under Camelus ferus (Wild Bactrian camel). It matches the Rfam family "tRNA". From Rfam's summary of the family: Transfer RNA (tRNA) molecules are approximately 80 nucleotides in length. Their secondary structure includes four short double-helical elements and three loops (D, anti-codon, and T loops). The record is from Rfam by way of RNAcentral. Lineage: Eukaryota; Metazoa; Chordata; Mammalia; Artiodactyla; Camelidae.